GCCUUCCUGCCUUGCUAGAAGCAAAAACUUCUCUCCCUGUAGUGAUCCAGCUGUUCUCUCUUUAUUUUUUAUUUAUUUAUUAUUUUUUUACAUAUUUUUUUAAAUUGGAGUUCAAUUUGCCAACAUAUAGCAUAACACCCAGUGCUCAUCCCAUCAAGUGCCCCCCUCAGUGCCCGUCUCUCUUUAAAUCUCAGGUGGGAUUGGUAGGUGCCCGGAGGCUUUGAGAGCAGGGUAGUAAGUUGGUGGGGCUGAGCACUGAGGACCCUACUCUUCGGCCACCUUGUCCCUCCCCUUCAAAGCUUUAGUUAUUUCACCUACUGAUGAUCUUGCAAAGCUGGAGACUUAGCUAGGAAGAUGUGAUUCCUACAGGGCAGAUAAUUUGUUGCAUCCCUUCCACGAUCUUUUUGUCCACUAUCUUGUUUUCUUUGUUUUCAUCAUAUAUUCCAAACAUAUUACAGUUUGGGCAACAAAUGUAUAUUUUCCUGUUUUUUUUUUUUUUUUUUGGUUUAAAUACUUUCAGAUGCUUUGAAAAAUAAUGCGACAUUGCACACAGAAUUCCUCACCAUGCCAUUGGCACUUUCGGUAUAUGCAUUUUUGAUCAUAAGUCACGUAGCAUUGUGCCAUUAUCUAACCUGCCUACUGCAGAACUCAGUGGUGGAAGUAAAAUGCUUCUGCAUAAUCAAAUGUUAUUUAAUAAGUGAUAUUACCUUAGGUCACCCCUUUGGUGUGAAACCCUUUUAUUUGAUGUGGGGACAAAAGAACUUCCGAGUGUCACCCCUGGCAUAUUUGCUUCUCCCUUGCAGGCCUAGCUGGGUUUUCUGUGCUGGCAAGCGAGGUCUAACAUGGAAUAUCCAGAAAUCACACUGCAGUUCCACCAUUCUUGAUGUCCUCCCAGCCUGUCAACCAUUGCUGCAGUUACGGACACCUGGAAAAAUUGAGGCUUGUGCUCACCAUCCGAGCAUCUCUGGAAAAUGAGUGAGUGUGAACCCAAUUUGUUGUGCUGGGUGGGACGGUUAAGGGUCGGCAUUACUAUAUGGCUGAUGGCCAUGUUUAAGGGUCUGGUGGUCCAGUUCCUUGUGCAGACUAUGGGCCCUUUGGGCAAAGUGCUUCUGUCUCCACUUCCAGUAAUCUGUCCUGCCAGGUAAACUGAAGCCAUCUUUGACCCCAUAAUGGUAAUUAGAGAUCACAGCAUGAAAUAUCAGUGCUUAAUAAUGAUAACUAGAAGGUGUUCAUUGGCACAUACAAACCUCAGGAUGGCAGGAUGGCGGUAAAAUGCCCAACAUUUUUGGUCCUAAAUGUGUUGCUAUUUUAAACAAAGAAAGGAAACUGAUGGCAAUAAGAUAUCUCCUGAGACAUGGAUGCUUCUCUGGCUCCCCAUUUUACCCAUUAAGGACAAGAUUUGCUAGUCAUCUAGCAGUAACCGACUAGUUUUCUUUCACAGUUUAAAGUCAUCAGCGAGGGUAAGGUGAACAAAAUGAACCAAAACGAACCAAAAUGAACCAAAACGAACCAAAAUGAACCACUGGUUUCCAAUUCAACUAGGAUACCUUCUUGGUGUCUUUCUAAUACAUUCUACAUCACAGUAGAAUGUGUCUACCCUAACACAUUGUUUAAGAUUUCUUUAUUCUUGAUCUUUUAAUCAUGAUCUGGAUUCAGUUAUACCAUCAUGAAAUACACACCAUUUAUCGAACACUUACUCUGUAUCAGGUAUUGGGUCAAGUCCCACAAAUGUAUUUUCUUAUUCAUUCUUUCCACAACGUCUAAGGUAGAUUCUAGUUUUAUUCCCAUUUUACAUGAGAAAAUUGAAGCUUAGAGUUCUCAGUGAUUUGCUUAAUUUAACAUUAUGCGUUUAACUAUUACACUGUACUUCUCCAGACGAACCAUGCAGUCUGGCUACCCAAACUCAGGAUCUCUUCACAGACAUGGUUAUCUUUGUUUCUUGACACUAAUAUCUGUGAGCCAGAGUUGCAGCUGUAGGCGAUGGCAGGUACAACUCAAGAACUAGAGCUCAUUUGCCUCCGUUUUUAUCCAAAAGUCGCAGAAGCAGGUGGGUGGGGUUCAUGCUAUUUCCAGCCUCUAAGUAAGUACUGAUGAACCAUUCUCAAAGAAAUGAUGCAGAGCCCUUUGCUGUGGUGUCUUUUGGGCAAGAUAUGGAUUUGAGCCAAAAUGCCUUCUGUUUCUCUGUCAGAUGUACAAAAAUAAAGGAUAUAUGGAAAAUAAAACA
This 2224-nucleotide long non-coding RNA is filed under the name Canis lupus dingo (dingo). Its description in RNAcentral is "lncRNA (ENSCAFG00020026993.1)". The record is from RNAcentral. Lineage: Eukaryota; Metazoa; Chordata; Mammalia; Carnivora; Canidae.